AUUGAACGCUGGCGGCAUGCCUUACACAUGCAAGUCGAACGGCAGCACGGGUGCUUGCACCUGGUGGCGAGUGGCGAACGGGUGAGUAAUACAUCGGAACGUACCUUAUCGUGGGGGAUAACGCAGCGAAAGCUGUGCUAAUACCGCAUACGCCCUGAGGGGGAAAGCGGGGGAUCGCAAGACCUCGCGCGAUUAGAGCGGCCGAUGCCUGAUUAGCUAGUUGGUGGGGUAAAAGCCCACCAAGGCGACGAUCAGUAGCUGGUCUGAGAGGACGAUCAGCCACACUGGGACUGAGACACGGCCCAGACUCCUACGGGAGGCAGCAGUGGGGAAUUUUGGACAAUGGGGGCGACCCUGAUCCAGCAAUGCCGCGUGAGUGAAGAAGGCCUUCGGGUUGUAAAGCUCUUUUGUCAGGGAAGAAACACCGGCUCUAACACAGUCCGGGAAUGACGGUACCUGAAGAAUAAGCACCGGCUAACUACGUG
This 485-nucleotide ribosomal RNA is filed under the name uncultured bacterium. RNAcentral's name for it is "bacterial SSU rRNA". It matches the Rfam family "Bacterial small subunit ribosomal RNA", at positions 29 to 507 of the family's 1533-position model. The record is from RNAcentral.